Araneus ventricosus is the source of this 72-nucleotide non-coding RNA. The record is from the annotation of a GenBank genome assembly. Lineage: Eukaryota; Metazoa; Arthropoda; Arachnida; Araneae; Araneidae.
CGGGGUAUAGCUCAGUGGUAGAGCAUUCGACUGUCAGAUCGAGAGGUCCCGGUUCAAACCCGGUUGCCCCUU